AUUGAACGCUGGCGGCAGGCCUAACACAUGCAAGUCGAGCGGUAACACAAGGGAGCUUGCUUCUGAGGUGACGAGCGGCGGACGGGUGAGUAAUGCCUAGGGAUCUGCCCAGUCGAGGGGGAUAACAGUUGGAAACGACUGCUAAUACCGCAUACGCCCUACGGGGGAAAGGAGGGGACCUUCGGGCCUUCCGCGAUUGGAUGAACCUAGGUGGGAUUAGCUAGUUGGUGAGGUAAUGGCUCACCAAGGCGACGAUCCCUAGCUGUUCUGAGAGGAUGAUCAGCCACACUGGGACUGAGACACGGCCCAGACUCCUACGGGAGGCAGCAGUGGGGAAUAUUGCACAAUGGGGGAAACCCUGAUGCAGCCAUGCCGCGUGUGUGAAGAAGGCCUUCGGGUUGUAAAGCACUUUCAGUAGGGAGGAAAGGUGAUGUGUUAAUAGCACAUUGCUGUGACGUUACCUACAGAAGAAGGACCGGCUAACUCCGUGCCAGCAGCCGCGGUAAU
This 507-nucleotide ribosomal RNA is filed under the name uncultured bacterium. Its description in RNAcentral is "bacterial SSU rRNA". It matches the Rfam family "Bacterial small subunit ribosomal RNA", at positions 30 to 524 of the family's 1533-position model. The record is from RNAcentral.